Non-coding RNA from Mycobacterium sp. KMS, 76 nucleotides. The record is from Rfam. NCBI's taxonomy places the organism in Bacteria, Bacillati, Actinomycetota, Actinomycetes, Mycobacteriales, Mycobacteriaceae.
GGUGUUCCGGUCGCGCCCCCCGAGGUCGGAACCGGAAGGGCCCGACUCCUCCCACCCUUGGUCGGGCCCUUCCACU